RNAcentral lists this ribosomal RNA (497 nucleotides) under uncultured bacterium. RNAcentral's name for it is "partial 16S ribosomal RNA". It matches the Rfam family "Bacterial small subunit ribosomal RNA", at positions 28 to 507 of the family's 1533-position model. The record is from RNAcentral.
GAUGAACGCUGGCGGCGUGCCUAAUACAUGCAAGUCGAGCGAACAGAUGAGGAGCUUGCUCCUCUGACGUUAGCGGCGGACGGGUGAGUAACACGUGGAUAACCUACCUAUAAGACUGGGAUAACUUCGGGAAACCGGAGCUAAUACCGGAUAAUAUAUUGAACCGCAUGGUUCAAUAGUGAAAGACGGUUUUGCUGUCACUUAUAGAUGGAUCCGCGCCGCAUUAGCUAGUUGGUAAGGUAACGGCUUACCAAGGCAACGAUGCGUAGCCGACCUGAGAGGGUGAUCGGCCACACUGGAACUGAGACACGGUCCAGACUCCUACGGGAGGCAGCAGUAGGGAAUCUUCCGCAAUGGGCGAAAGCUUGACGGAGCAACGCCGCGUGAGUGAUGAAGGUCUUCGGAUCGUAACACUCUGUUAUUAGGGAAGAACAAAUGUGUAAGUAACUAUGCACGUCUUGACGGUACCUAAUCAGAAAGCCACGGCUAACUACGUG